This 449-nucleotide ribosomal RNA is filed under the name uncultured bacterium. RNAcentral describes it as "partial 16S ribosomal RNA". It matches the Rfam family "Bacterial small subunit ribosomal RNA", at positions 29 to 523 of the family's 1533-position model. The record is from RNAcentral.
AAUGAACGCUGGCGGCAGGCCUAACACAUGCAAGUCGAACGGGUCCUUCGGGAUUAGUGGCGGACGGGUGAGUAACGCGUGGGAACAUACCCUUUGGUACGGAAUAGCCUCGGGAAACUGGGAGUAAUACCGUAGGUGGUCGAGAGACGAAAGAUUUAUCGCCAAAGGAUUGGCCCGCGUUGGAUUAGGUAGUUGGUGGGGUAAUGGACUACCAAGCCGACGAUCCAUAGCUGGUUUGGGAGGAUGAUCAGCCACACUGGGACUGAGACACGGCCCAGACUCCUACGGGAGGGAGCACUGGGGAAUCUUAGACAAUGGGGGAAACCCUGAUCUAGCCAUGCCGCAUGAUCGAUGAAGGCCUUAGGGUUGUAAAGAUCUUUCAGGUGGGAAGAUAAUGACUGUACCACCAGAAGAAGCCCCGGCUAACUCCGUGCCAGCCGCCGCCGUAA